RNAcentral lists this long non-coding RNA (203 nucleotides) under Elaeis guineensis (African oil palm). RNAcentral's name for it is "long non-coding RNA (EGUI_LNC038127)". The record is from RNAcentral. Lineage: Eukaryota; Viridiplantae; Streptophyta; Magnoliopsida; Arecales; Arecaceae.
CUACAUGAAGGCCGAGUUAGAGUCGGCCCGAGCCGAAUUAGAGUCGGCUCAACAAACCAUCAAGUCUCAAGAGUUUCGGAUCAAAAAGAAGAAGUAUGAGGUUAAAUGACUCUGAAAGGAACAUGAUGGCUACACCAAAGAACUAAAAGAAGAACAAAAAAAGCAUCAGGCCAUCGAAGCACAGCUGGCACUAGCCGAUGUAG